GUUUGGAUAGCUUAGGGGUAGAGCGAAAGACUGAAAAUCUUUAGGUCGGCGGUUCGAAUCCGCCUCCAAACA
Molecule: transfer RNA, 72 nt
Filed under: Colponema vietnamica
Lineage: Eukaryota; Colponemida; Colponemidia
Description: tRNA-Phe
Rfam family: tRNA
About the family: Transfer RNA (tRNA) molecules are approximately 80 nucleotides in length. Their secondary structure includes four short double-helical elements and three loops (D, anti-codon, and T loops).
Source: RNAcentral